UGAGGAAUAUUGGUCAAUGGGCGAGAGCCUGAACCAGCCAAGUAGCGUGCAGGAUGACGGCCCUAUGGGUUGUAAACUGCUUUUAUAAGGGAAUAAAGUGAGAGUCGUGACUCUUUUUGCAUGUACCUUAUGAAUAAGGACCGGCUAAUUCCGUGCCAGCAGCCGCGGUAAUACGGAAGGUCCGGGCGUUAUCCGGAUUUAUUGGGUUUAAAGGGAGCGCAGGCCGCCGGGCAAGCGUGUUGUGAAAUGCAGUCGCUCAACGUCUGCACUGCAGCGCGAACUGCCCAGCUUGAGUGCGCGCAACGUUGGCGGAAUUCGCCGUGUAGCGGUGAAAUGCGUAGAGAUUAGGAAGAACUCCGAUUGCGAAGGCAGCCUGCUGUAGCGCAACUGACGCUGAAGCUCGAAAGCGU
This 410-nucleotide ribosomal RNA is filed under the name uncultured Prevotella sp. RNAcentral's name for it is "bacterial SSU rRNA". It matches the Rfam family "Bacterial small subunit ribosomal RNA", at positions 355 to 762 of the family's 1533-position model. The record is from RNAcentral. Lineage: Bacteria; Pseudomonadati; Bacteroidota; Bacteroidia; Bacteroidales; Prevotellaceae.